UGCGCAGGCGGUUUUUUAAGUCAGAUGUGAAGUACCCGGGCUUAACCUGGGGGGUGCAUUUGAAACUGGGAGACUUGAGUGCAGGAGAGGAAAGUGGAAUUCCUAGUGUAGCGGUGAAAUGCGUAGAUAUUAGGAGGAACACCAGUGGCGAAGGCGACUUUCUGGACUGUAACUGACGCUGAGGCACGAAAGCGUGGGGAGCAAACAGGAUUAGAUACCCUGGUAGUCCACGCUGUAAACGAUGGAUACUAGGUGUAGGGGGCGAUAGCUCUCUGUGCCGCAGCUAACGCAAUAAGUAUCCCGCCUGGGGAGUACGAUCGCAAGGUUGAA
RNAcentral lists this ribosomal RNA (330 nucleotides) under uncultured bacterium. RNAcentral's name for it is "bacterial SSU rRNA". It matches the Rfam family "Bacterial small subunit ribosomal RNA", at positions 568 to 898 of the family's 1533-position model. The record is from RNAcentral.